GAUGAAGAACGUAGCGAAAUGCGAUAAGUAAUGUGAAUUGCAGAAUUCAGUGAAUCAUCGAGUCUUUGAACGCACAUUGCGCCCCCUGGUAUUCCGGGGGGCAUGCCUGUCCGAGCGUCAUUGCUGCCCUCAAGCACGGCUUGUGUGUUGGGCCGUCGUCCCCCUCCUAGGGGACGGGCCCGAAAGGCAGCGGCGGCACCGCGUCCGGUCCUCGAGCGUAUGGGGCUUCGUCACCCGCUCCGUAGGCCCGGCCGGCGCUUGCCGACGACCAUCAAUCUCUUUCUCCAGGUUGACCUCGGAUCAGGUAGGGAUACCCGCUGAACUUAAGCAUAUCAAUAAGCGGAGGU
Molecule: unclassified non-coding RNA, 347 nt
Filed under: soil metagenome
Description: partial contains 5.8S ribosomal RNA, internal transcribed spacer 2, and large subunit ribosomal RNA
Rfam family: 5.8S ribosomal RNA (bases 1-120)
Source: RNAcentral